GGAAGCGUGGCCGAGUGGUUUAUGGCACUGCACUGCUAACGCAGAACUCGUGAAAACGAGUCGAAGGUUCAAAUCCUUCCGCUUCCGCCA
This 90-nucleotide transfer RNA is filed under the name hydrothermal vent metagenome. RNAcentral describes it as "tRNA-Ser-GCT". It matches the Rfam family "tRNA". Rfam says of the family: Transfer RNA (tRNA) molecules are approximately 80 nucleotides in length. Their secondary structure includes four short double-helical elements and three loops (D, anti-codon, and T loops). Further hydrogen bonds mediate the characteristic L-shaped molecular structure. tRNAs have two regions of fundamental functional importance: the anti-codon, which is responsible for specific mRNA codon recognition, and the 3' end, to which the tRNAs corresponding amino acid is attached (by aminoacyl-tRNA synthetases). tRNAs cope with the degeneracy of the genetic code in two manners: having more than one tRNA (with a specific anti-codon) for a particular amino acid; and 'wobble' base-pairing, i.e. permitting non-standard base-pairing at the 3rd anti-codon position. The record is from RNAcentral.